GUCCCACCUCGGUGGUAGAGCGGUCGGUCUUUAACUGACUGGUUGUAGGUUCAAAUCCUACUUGAGGUC
RNAcentral lists this transfer RNA (69 nucleotides) under Zingiber officinale. RNAcentral describes it as "tRNA-Lys". It matches the Rfam family "tRNA". Rfam says of the family: Transfer RNA (tRNA) molecules are approximately 80 nucleotides in length. Their secondary structure includes four short double-helical elements and three loops (D, anti-codon, and T loops). The record is from RNAcentral. Lineage: Eukaryota; Viridiplantae; Streptophyta; Magnoliopsida; Zingiberales; Zingiberaceae.